This 538-nucleotide ribosomal RNA is filed under the name Fusarium acuminatum. RNAcentral's name for it is "eukaryotic LSU rRNA". The stretch from base 169 to 322 matches the Rfam family "5.8S ribosomal RNA". Lineage: Eukaryota; Fungi; Ascomycota; Sordariomycetes; Hypocreales; Nectriaceae. The record is from RNAcentral.
CAGCGGAGGGAUCAUUACCGAGUUUACAACUCCCAAACCCCUGUGAACAUACCUUAAUGUUGCCUCGGCGGAUCAGCCCGCGCCCCGUAAAACGGGACGGCCCGCCAGAGGACCCAAACUCUAAUGUUUCUUAUUGUAACUUCUGAGUAAAACAAACAAAUAAAUCAAAACUUUCAACAACGGAUCUCUUGGUUCUGGCAUCGAUGAAGAACGCAGCAAAAUGCGAUAAGUAAUGUGAAUUGCAGAAUUCAGUGAAUCAUCGAAUCUUUGAACGCACAUUGCGCCCGCUGGUAUUCCGGCGGGCAUGCCUGUUCGAGCGUCAUUUCAACCCUCAAGCCCCCGGGUUUGGUGUUGGGGAUCGGCUCUGCCCUUCUGGGCGGUGCCGCCCCCGAAAUACAUUGGCGGUCUCGCUGCAGCCUCCAUUGCGUAGUAGCUAACACCUCGCAACUGGAACGCGGCGCGGCCAUGCCGUAAAACCCCAACUUCUGAAUGUUGACCUCGGAUCAGGUAGGAAUACCCGCUGAACUUAAGCAUAUCA